RNAcentral lists this small RNA (236 nucleotides) under Bos taurus (domestic cattle). The record is from RNAcentral. Lineage: Eukaryota; Metazoa; Chordata; Mammalia; Artiodactyla; Bovidae.
AGCGGAAUUCGUGAGACCGCUCAACAUGGGCCAGAGGACACUCACAGAUGAGACACAAGGAAAUAUGUAUUAUUCUUUUGAUGCAUUGAAUUGUUGUGUUGUUUGUGCACUAUUUUUCUCAGUUGUAUGCUUCUUUGUUACUACACAUUGAUUUGAUCUUGAAGAUUAUUUCAACUAUAUUUUUAUUUUUUGUAUAGCUAUUUCUACUUUUACUUUGGUUUCCUAUUUUCUGUGCC